GGCCCCAUCGUCUAGCGGAUAGGACGUGGCCCUCUCAAGGCCAAAACACGGGUUCGAUUCCCGUUGGGGCUA
RNAcentral lists this transfer RNA (72 nucleotides) under Acidobacteriota bacterium. RNAcentral's name for it is "Acidobacteria bacterium tRNA-Glu". It matches the Rfam family "tRNA". Rfam says of the family: Transfer RNA (tRNA) molecules are approximately 80 nucleotides in length. The record is from RNAcentral. Lineage: Bacteria; Pseudomonadati; Acidobacteriota.